Molecule: ribosomal RNA, 499 nt
Filed under: uncultured bacterium
Lineage: Bacteria
Description: bacterial SSU rRNA
Rfam family: Bacterial small subunit ribosomal RNA
Source: RNAcentral
AUGGCUCAGGAUGAACGCUGGCGGCGUGCUUAACACAUGCAAGUCGAGCGAAGCUGUUUCAUGAAGUCCUCGGAUGGAGUGGAAACGGACUGAGCGGCGGACGGGUGAGUAACGCGUGGGUAACCUGCCUCAUACAGGGGGAUAACAGUUGGAAACGACUGCUAAUACCGCAUAAGCGCACAGUGCCGCAUGGUACGGUGUGAAAAACUCCGGUGGUAUGAGAUGGACCCGCGUCUGAUUAGGUAGUUGGUGAGGUAAUGGCCCACCAAGCCGACGAUCAGUAGCCGACCUGAGAGGGUGACCGGCCACAUUGGGACUGAGACACGGCCCAAACUCCUACGGGAGGCAGCAGUGGGGAAUAUUGGACAAUGGGGGAAACCCUGAUCCCAGCGACGCCGCGUGAGUGAAGAAGUGUUUCGGCAUGUAAAGCUCUAUCAGCAGGGAAGAAAAUGACGGUACCUGACUAAGAAGCCCCGGCUAACUACGUGCCAGCAGCGGC